RNAcentral lists this ribosomal RNA (253 nucleotides) under uncultured bacterium. RNAcentral's name for it is "partial 16S ribosomal RNA". It matches the Rfam family "Bacterial small subunit ribosomal RNA", at positions 524 to 776 of the family's 1533-position model. The record is from RNAcentral.
GACGGAGGGUGCUAGCGUUGUUCGGAAUCACUGGGCGUAAAGGGCGCGUAGGCGGUCCCUCGCGUCGGACGUGAAAUCCCCGGGCUUAACCUGGGAACUGCGCUUGUUACUGAUAGGCUUGAGUGUGGCAGAGGGGGGUGGAAUUCCACGUGUAGCAGUGAAAUGCGUAGAGAUGUGGAGGAACACCGAUGGCGAAGGCAGCCCCCUGGGCUAACACUGACGCUCAUGCACGAAAGCGUGGGGAGCAAACAGG